Molecule: ribosomal RNA, 1961 nt
Filed under: Streptococcus pneumoniae
Lineage: Bacteria; Bacillati; Bacillota; Bacilli; Lactobacillales; Streptococcaceae
Description: partial 23S ribosomal RNA
Rfam family: Bacterial large subunit ribosomal RNA
Source: RNAcentral
GGUUAAGUUAAUAAGGGCGCACGGUGGAUGCCUUGGCACUAGGAGCCGACGAAGGACGUGACAAACGACGAUAUGCCUUGGGUAGCUGUAAGUAAGCGAUGAUCCAGGGAUUUCCGAAUGGGGGAACCCAACAGGUAAUACCUGUUACCCACAUCUGUUAAGGAUGUGAGGAGGAAGACGCAGUGAACUGAAACAUCUAAGUAGCUGCAGGAAGAGAAAGCAAAAGCGAUUGCCUUAGUAGCGGCGAGCGAAACGGCAGGAGGGCAAACCGAAGAGUUUACUCUUCGGGGUUGUAGGACUGCAAUGUGGACUCAAAGAUUAUAGAAGAAUGAUUUGGGAAGAUCAGCCAAAGAGAGUAAUAGCCUCGUAUUUAAAAUAGUCUUUGUACUUAGCAGUAUCCUGAGUACGGCGGGACACGUGAAAUCCCGUCGGAAUCCGGGAGGACCAUCUCCCAACCCUAAAUACUCCCUAGUGACCGAUAGUGAACCAGUACCGUGAGGGAAAGGUGAAAAGCACCCCGGGAGGGGAGUGAAAUAGAACCUGAAACCGUGUGCCUACAACAAGUUCGAGCCCGUUAAUGGGUGAGAGCGUGCCUUUUGUAGAAUGAACCGGCGAGUUACGUUAUGAUGCGAGGUUAAGUUGAAGAGACGGAGCCGUAGGGAAACCGAGUCUGAAUAGGGCGCCUUAGUAUCAUGACGUAGACCCGAAACCAUGUGACCUACCCAUGAGCAGGUUGAAGGUGCGGUAAGACGCACUGGAGGACCGAACCAGGGCACGUUGAAAAGUGCUUGGAUGACUUGUGGGUAGCGGAGAAAUUCCAAACGAACUUGGAGAUAGCUGGUUCUCUCCGAAAUAGCUUUAGGGCUAGCGUCGACAUUAGAGAUUCUUGGAGGUAGAGCACUGUUUGGGUGAGGGGUCCAUCCCGGAUUACCAAUCUCAGAUAAACUCCGAAUGCCAAUGAAUUAUGGUCGGCAGUCAGACUGCGAGUGCUAAGAUCCGUAGUCGAAAGGGAAACAGCCCAGACCACCAGCUAAGGUCCCAAAAUAAUUGUUAAGUGGAAAAGGAUGUGGGGUUGCACAGACAACUAGGAUGUUAGCUUAGAAGCAGCUAUUCAUUCAAAGAGUGCGUAAUAGCUCACUAGUCGAGUGACCCUGCGCCGAAAAUGUACCGGGGCUAAAACAAUUUACCGAAGCUGUGGAUACCUUUAUAGGUAUGGUAGGAGAGCGUUCUAUGUGUGAUGAAGGUGUACCGUGAGGAGUGCUGGAACGCAUAGAAGUGAGAAUGCCGGUAUGAGUAGCGAAAGACAGGUGAGAAUCCUGUCCACCGUAAGACUAAGGUUUCCAGGGGAAGGCUCGUCCGCCCUGGGUUAGUCGGGACCUAAGGAGAGACCGAAAGGUGUAUCCGAUGGACAACAGGUUGAUAUUCCUGUACUAGAGUAUGUAGUGAUGGAGGGACGCAGUAGGCUAACUAAAGCAGACGAUUGGAAGAGUCUGUCUAAGCAGUGAGGUGUGAAUUGAGUCAAAUGCUUAAUUCUAUAACAUUGAGCUGUGAUGGGGAGCGAAGUUUAGUAGCGAAGUUAGUGACGUCACACUGCCAAGAAAAGCUUCUAGCGUUUAAACAUACUCUACCCGUACCGCAAACCGACACAGGUAGUCGAGGCGAGUAGCCUCAGGUGAGCGAGAGAACUCUCGUUAAGGAACUCGGCAAAAUGACCCCGUAACUUCGGGAGAAGGGGUGCUGACUUUAAGUCAGCCGCAGUGAAUAGGCCCAAGCAACUGUUUAUCAAAAACACAGCUCUCUGCUAAAUCGUAAGAUGAUGUAUAGGGGGUGACGCCUGCCCGGUGCUGGAAGGUUAAGAGGAGUGCUUAGCGUAAGCGAAGGUAUGAAUUGAAGCCCCAGUAAACGGCGGCCGUAACUAUAACGGUCCUAAGGUAGCGAAAUUCCUUGUCGGGUAAGUUCCG